Molecule: RNA transcript, 1778 nt
Organism: Daucus carota subsp. sativus
Lineage: Eukaryota; Viridiplantae; Streptophyta; Magnoliopsida; Apiales; Apiaceae
Gene name: myb family transcription factor MPH1
Exons: 6
Source: RefSeq, a predicted model, not a curated record
ACCAAAGUUGCAAUAAAGUUGAAACUACCAAUUAUUGUUUAUAUUAAUACUCCCUACAAAUUAAGAAAGAGGAAACACUUUUAAUUCUUCAUUGAUGUGGUCUAGCUAGGGUUCAACUAAUUUCCAACUGUUGGUUUACAUGAUAUAAUCUCAAGUCAUCAUCUCCAGCUUAUUGAUCAAGGUUCUCAUGUAUAAUAUAUAUAUAUCUACUUAGCCAUGUGUCUUUAUUCUUGUUCAUUUGAAUAGCCCUAGCUUGCUAAUUCAUAUCAUAUCUGCCCCAGCUGCUAGUAAUAUUAGUGGAGAAACCCUGGCAAACAAUUAACUUAUGGACGGAAGUAGUAGGAGUGAGUGCUACAAAGCUUCCCCAUCGAAUGAGGAAUACGAAGAGGAUGAAGAAGAUGUGAGUGCGGAGAACAACAGUAAGGCAACAGAUGGAGGCGCUGGAGGUUCAUCAAGCAACAGUACAAUUGAAGAAAAUGAAAACAAAUCAUCAGUCCGUCCUUAUGUCCGAUCCAAGACGCCUAGACUCCGGUGGACACAUGACCUGCAUCUUCGCUUUGUUCAAGCUGUUGAGAGACUUGGUGGCCAAGAGAGAGCAACACCGAAGUUGGUUCUUCAACUAAUGAAUGUCAAGGGGCUUAACAUAGCACAUGUCAAAAGUCAUUUGCAGAUGUACAGAAGCAAGAAGAUCGAUGACCCUAAUCAAGCUAUAGCAGAUAACAGAAGUGUUGAAAAUUAUGGAGAUCGGAACAUCUACAACCUAAGCCAACUCCCAAUGCUUCAAAGCUAUAACCAGAGCUAUAAUCUGAGUACCUUCAGGUAUGGAGAUGCCCUUUGGAAUGCUGGACAUCAUGAGAAAUGGAUGCAAAAUGUUUAUAAUAUGUCUGGUCGGAAUGGUGCAGUUGAUUAUAAGGCAAGACCAAGAUUUUAUCCUUCAGUAACCGAGAAGAUAUCAGGAAGAAAUUCCAUCAACUGGGAGAAUAAUAUCAAUGCUUCAUCAUCUAGUCAAUUAUCUACAUGGAAAGUUCAUGAAAACAAGGGUGAAUUACUUGGACCAUUGAAUGAUCAAUCUCCAGUGAAAUUUAUGGAAUUUAAAUCAUCGAACAGACAACAAGAGAAAGUUGAGCCUCUGGAUUUGGAAAUCGCCAGCCUUACACCGGCUAAAAGAAAGGCUUCGGCCUGUGAGCUUGAUCUAAAUCUAACUCUUGCGGUCAAAUCAACAAAUGACAACAGUGGAAGAAAUUUGAAGGACGACGAAGACGAGUACUUAUCAUUGUCACUGUUCUCCCCCUCUUCUUCGAAGAAGCUGGAGAGGUUAAAAAUGGUUGAUAAAGAAGAGAUUAAUGCGGAAAGGGCAAGUACUCUUGAUCUCACUAUAUGAAUAUUGCGGUAAUAUUCUAAGUGAGAUCUUGAAGUACUACUUCCAGGAAGUGCAUCUGCAAUUUGUCUUGCACCAUUCAAGAGCCUUGUACACAAGAAACUCAAUCAAGGCACGCGAGGACUCGGCAAGAGGAACAAGACAAUUGCAGAUCACACUUUAGGUUUAAUAAUCUCCGCUCGAGAGUGAAUAUAUAUAUAUGGUACUUUGCCUAGCUUGUCUACAGUUGCAGCAAUUAAUCAACUUGGUUAAUGUCUGUUUAAUUUGUUUCUGUGAAGUUCAGUAAUUAAUCGACAAUGCUUACCUAAAUAAUAUACAAGUACACCAGUAAUUCUUAAUGUAGGAAAAUGUUGGAUGUAGAGCUCAAAUAGUAAUGAUAUUUAAUUUUUGAUCUCACAAU